This 253-nucleotide ribosomal RNA is filed under the name uncultured bacterium. RNAcentral's name for it is "partial 16S ribosomal RNA". It matches the Rfam family "Bacterial small subunit ribosomal RNA", at positions 524 to 776 of the family's 1533-position model. The record is from RNAcentral.
UACGUAGGGCGCAAGCGUUAUCCGGAAUUAUUGGGCGUAAAGAGCUCGUAGGCGGUUUGUCGCGUCUGCCGUGAAAGUCCGGGGCUCAACUCCGGAUCUGCGGUGGGUACGGGCAGACUAGAGUGAUGUAGGGGAGACUGGAAUUCCUGGUGUAGCGGUGAAAUGCGCAGAUAUCAGGAGGAACACCGAUGGCGAAGGCAGGUCUCUGGGCUGUUACUGACGCUGAGGAGCGAAAGCAUGGGGAGCGAACAGG